RNAcentral lists this ribosomal RNA (377 nucleotides) under uncultured bacterium. RNAcentral's name for it is "bacterial SSU rRNA". It matches the Rfam family "Bacterial small subunit ribosomal RNA", at positions 521 to 896 of the family's 1533-position model. The record is from RNAcentral.
UAAUACGGAGGGUGCAAGCGUUGUUCGGAAUUACUGGGCGUAAAGCGCGUGUAGGCGGCUACCUAAGUCUGAUGUGAAAGCCCGAGGCUUACCCUCGGAAGCGCAUUGGAAACUGGGUAGCUCGAGUAUCGGAGAGGAGGGUGGAAUUCCUGGUGUAGCGGUGAAAUGCGUAGAUAUCAGGAAGAACACCGGUGGCGAAGGCGGCCCUCUGGACGAAUACUGACGCUGAGACGCGAAAGCGUGGGGAGCAAACAGGAUUAGAUACCCUGGUAGUCCACGCUGUAAACGAUGGGCACUAGGUGUUCAGGGUAUUAACCCCCUGGGUGCCGUCGCUAACGCAUUAAGUGCCCCGCCUGGGGAUUACGGCCGCAAGGUUA